UACGAAGGGAGCUAGCGUUACUCGGAAUUACUGGGCGUAAAGCGUGCGUAGGCGGUUUAGAAAGUUGAAAGUGAAAGCCCGGGGCCUAACCCCGGAACAGCUUUCAAAACUACUAGACUAGAGUAUUGAAGGGGAUAGCGGAAUUCCUAGUGUAGAGGUGAAAUUCGUAGAUACUAGGAGGAACACCGGAGGCGAAGGCGGCUAUCUGGUCAAAUACUGACGCUGUUGCACGAAAGCGUGGGGAGCAAACAGG
Molecule: ribosomal RNA, 253 nt
Filed under: uncultured bacterium
Lineage: Bacteria
Description: partial 16S ribosomal RNA
Rfam family: Bacterial small subunit ribosomal RNA
Source: RNAcentral